GUAGGUGAACCUGCGGAAGGAUCAUUAUCAUAACGUAUCCACGUAUAAACCAAUAAUAUAAUGUGAAUUGUAAUGUUUUACAGCCUUUGAUAAUUAAUGAUUGCUAUUCAGCUUUUGUCUGUGAUUAAGGACAAUUUGAAUAGACUUGGGAUUAUAGCAAUAUAAUCUCUAGCAUUAACUAUUGAAGUGUAAAUUUAAUCAAUAUUAACCAAUUGAACCGAUUAACUUAAUUGUUAUUCAUUCUUUUAUU
RNAcentral lists this unclassified non-coding RNA (250 nucleotides) under plant metagenome. RNAcentral describes it as "partial contains small subunit ribosomal RNA, internal transcribed spacer 1, and 5.8S ribosomal RNA". The record is from RNAcentral.